Caenorhabditis elegans is the source of this 96-nucleotide non-coding RNA. Lineage: Eukaryota; Metazoa; Nematoda; Chromadorea; Rhabditida; Rhabditidae. The record is from Ensembl.
CAAAAAGUUUACCGCAGUCAGCAGGAUUCGAACCUACGCGGGCAGAGCCCAAUUGAUUUCUAGUCAAUCUCCUUAACCACUCGGACAUGACUGCUG